This 603-nucleotide ribosomal RNA is filed under the name uncultured bacterium. RNAcentral describes it as "bacterial SSU rRNA". It matches the Rfam family "Bacterial small subunit ribosomal RNA", at positions 888 to 1497 of the family's 1533-position model. The record is from RNAcentral.
GCAAGAGUAAACUCAAGGAAUGACGGGGGCCCGCACAAGCGUUGAGCAUGUGGUUAAUUCGAUGCAACGCGAAGAACCUUACCAGGGUUGACAUCCUGCGAACCCCUGAGAAAUCGGGGGGUGCCUUCGGGAGCGCAGAGACAGGUGGUGCAUGGCUGUCGUCAGCUCGUGUCGUGAGAUGUUGGGUUAAGUCCCGCAACGAGCGCAACCCACGUCGUUAGUUGCCAGCAUUCAGUUGGGCACUCUAGCGAGACCGCCGGUGAUAAACCGGAGGAAGGUGUGGAUGACGUCAAGUCAUCAUGCCCCUUACAUCCUGGGCUACACACGUACUACAAUGCUACGGACAAAGGGCAGCAAGCUCGCGAGAGUAAGCAAAUCCCAUAAACCGUGGCUCAGUUCAGAUCGUAGGCUGCAACUCGCCUACGUGAAGGAGGAAUCGCUAGUAAUCGCAGGUCAGCAUACUGCGGUGAAUACGUUCCCGGGCCUUGUACACACCGCCCGUCACACCAUGGAAGUUGGCCAUGCCCGAAGUCGUUACUCCAACCCUUGUGGAGGAGGACGCCGAAGGUGGGGCUGAUGACUGGGGUGAAGUCGUAACAAGGU